GCGAUCGUGGUCCAACGGCAGGACUCGGGCAUGCCACGUCCGCAGUGUCGGUUCGACUCCGACCGAUCGCU
This 71-nucleotide transfer RNA is filed under the name Myxococcales bacterium. Its description in RNAcentral is "tRNA-Gly". It matches the Rfam family "tRNA". Rfam says of the family: Transfer RNA (tRNA) molecules are approximately 80 nucleotides in length. Their secondary structure includes four short double-helical elements and three loops (D, anti-codon, and T loops). RNAcentral also lists the same sequence under 1 other name. Lineage: Bacteria; Pseudomonadati; Myxococcota; Myxococcia; Myxococcales. The record is from RNAcentral.